UACGGGGGGGGCAAGCGUUGUUCGGAAUUACUGGGCGUAAAGGGCGCGUAGGUGGCCUUUUGAGUCAGACGUGAAAUCCCCCGGCUUAACCUGGGAACUGCGUCUGAUACUGGAAGGCUUGAGUUCGGGAGAGGGAUGUGGAAUUCCAGGUGUAGCGGUGAAAUGCGUAGAUAUCUGGAGGAACACCGGUGGCGAAGGCGGCAUCCUGGACCGAAACUGACACUGAGGCGCGAAAGCCAGGGGAGCAAACGGG
RNAcentral lists this ribosomal RNA (253 nucleotides) under uncultured bacterium. RNAcentral describes it as "partial 16S ribosomal RNA". It matches the Rfam family "Bacterial small subunit ribosomal RNA", at positions 524 to 776 of the family's 1533-position model. The record is from RNAcentral.